GCAAUUUAAGCUUGAAUUGGGUGGGGAGAACAGUCAUUAACUGUAGCAAUUUUUUCAAGGUGCUAUUGGUCAUCUCCUAGGCGCUGCUGGAGCUGUUGAAGCAAUUUUUGCAGUUUUGGCAAUACGGCAUGUAAGCAGUUUUUAUUUAUUUAUUUUGCCCACUUGCAUCAACUUAUAGGGAAGCAUUUUUGCACAUAAUACAGUAGCUUUUGUGCUUAAUCUAAGAGCCAAGCCCUGUAUGCUUAAUAUAAUAAAAUGGUUUCUGUGAUGCUUGUUGUAACAGGGUAUUGCUCCAUUAACUCUUAAUUUAACUAAGCCAAAUCCUAUGUUCGGUGAUGGUUUCAUGCCAUUGUCUGCUUUAGAAGAAAUGCCAAUUAGAGUUGCUAUGUCACAAAGUGUGCUUAAUGUAAUAAGAUAUUUACCAUAUUCUCUAAGAAAAGUAAAAAAAAAAUACGUCUUAUUAUCAAGACUCUUGAGAUUAAUUAUGAUAUUUAUUUUGUACAUAUUAUAAAGAUAUAUUAUUUCUAAUUGUUUAUUAAAACUAAUUUCUUUUAGAAAAUACAAAAGCAUUUAAAGACAAAAUUUUCAUCUCUACCAUUUUUUUCUAUUAAUGAGAGAGUUAGAAUUCAAAUAUUUAACUUCUUGCUUAAAGGACCUAACUCUAACGUUAUUUGAAUCAACUAGUUGUUGGGAUUAAUAUUAAGAUUAUGAUUAUUUUUUUAUUUUUUUAUACCUAGAAGGUAUCUAAGAUUUUUAUUUGGCAUGUAACCAAUUUCUCUCACUCCUGAUCAUUUUGAAGUAAAAUAGCACUACCCUGGAGUUAAAUAUUAACAAAACUGGUUACUAUUAUUUAAUUUUACUAAUCAUAUUUUAAAAAUAAUUUUUUUAAAGUGUAUUACUUAAGCACAUUUUUUUAAGUACUAAUGUUAGAUGUUAAUUUGUACAGGUCACGAAAAAUCUGUAUCCAGUUUAGCUUUUAGCUAUGAUGGACAUUGUUUGGAAUCGGGAGGCUUAGAUGGAAUUAUUAAAGUGAAAUUUGGAAGGUAAAAAAUUUGAAGGACCUGCAGGGGGCAUUGAGGUGAGAUUGUUAGUGAAAACAAGGUGUUAUUUUUGUUGCUUUUAGUAAAAGAAAUAUCAACUAGAAAUGAAAAAAAAAUAAACAAAACACACCCACCCUUCCUUUUCUUGGUUUUUUCUGUUUUUAUUAGUUACUAAGUUAGAUGCCAUGAAAUCUUUCAGUGGCUUAGGUGGCAUCCAAGAGGACACAUACUUAGUUUUCUUGGUUUCUUUGGUCUAUUUUGAUGUAAAUCCUCCAGUAUAUUUCUAACUACUAAUUUUCUGAGGUUCACUUUUUACGAUUCAGAUUGAGUUGAAUUAUUGAAAGUAAAAUCGGAAAUUGGUUGCUUCUCAUGAGACUAAAUAAUUGUUUUCGUAGUUUAAUGCUACUAUCUUCUAUGCGAGUAAUAUGAGCGAUUUUAUUUUCUGCAGGGGAAAAUAAAGCAGA
Molecule: long non-coding RNA, 1504 nt
Filed under: Glycine max (soybean)
Lineage: Eukaryota; Viridiplantae; Streptophyta; Magnoliopsida; Fabales; Fabaceae
Description: long non-coding RNA (GMAX_LNC004325)
Source: RNAcentral